UGUAAUGUCCAUAAAAAAAAAACAGCAUAUAUAAAUCUUGAUAACAUCAGAGACAUUUGUAGAUCUAAGAGAGUAGCAUUAGCAUCUAUAGUUUAUCUUGCAGAUUUGAGUUGCUAAUAAAAAUAUUACAGAUUUGAUCAUUCAUACACGUUGAAAUGAAACAUUUUAUAAAAUAUUAAUACUUCAGCCUAUCGCAUUUUGCUUAGAUAAGUUACAAUUCAACAAAAACAUAUAUGUAUAUUGAUCUUCUAAAUUAAAGAUCCCAGCUUUGCCCAGAAACUAGCAACACCAAAUGGCAACAAAUCAUGAUCUAUUUAAAUAUAAUUGCCCAAAGUGUUAAUCAUAACCUAAAUACACUAUUCUUUCGAGAGCAAGUAAAUGUAUCUAGCGUCGGUAAGCGUAGUUGUUCAUAAUCAAUUAAAAUUAUCCUAACAUCACACCACCGAAUGGAAAAAAUUUUUCUUUUAGACACAGCCUUAUCCUUGGACAUCAUAUUUUCCUAAGGACAUACUAACAGCU
This 519-nucleotide unclassified non-coding RNA is filed under the name Hevea brasiliensis (rubber tree). Lineage: Eukaryota; Viridiplantae; Streptophyta; Magnoliopsida; Malpighiales; Euphorbiaceae. The record is from RNAcentral.